AUGAAAAGUGCUAUGGCAACUCCCUAUGUCACUGACGAGACCAGCCGAAAAUACAAAGCCUCAACACAGAGACCAGACUCGAUGUGGCACAAGCGGGAGAGUGUCAAAGAAGGAUAUGUGCCCCAAGAGGAGGUCCCAGUCUAUGAAAACAAAUACGUGAAGUUUUUCAAGAGAACACCAGAACUUCCCACAGGGCUGAGGCACACCGGUCAGACCUGAAUGUGGUGAAGCAGGCAUCUCCAAGUCAGCCAAACGCAACCUGAAGCAGAAGGAGAAAAGGAGGCAGCAGCAGGAGAAAGAAGCAGAGGCCUUGAGCAGGACUCUCGUUAAGGUGUCUCUCAGAGACACAGCCCAGCCGCCCAGUGCUCUCCAUGGCCCCCAGGCCACCCCUCUAGCUGCCUCUGACCAAUCUGAUUCUGCUGCCACAGCAGAGAAAGCCAAGAAGAUUAAGAAUAUCAGGAAGAAGCUGCAACAAACAGUUGGGGGAGCUGCAGCAACUGCGUCCAGGCCGGGGAGGUCAGCCAGCCCCGGAGAGAACAGCUGGAGAAGCUGGCACAGCGGAGGGGUCUGGAAGAGGAGCUGGAGAACUUGGAGUCGGGCCUGUGA
Molecule: long non-coding RNA, 606 nt
Filed under: Mus musculus (house mouse)
Lineage: Eukaryota; Metazoa; Chordata; Mammalia; Rodentia; Muridae
Description: long non-coding RNA chr4:91156681-91157287
Source: RNAcentral